This 479-nucleotide ribosomal RNA is filed under the name uncultured bacterium. Its description in RNAcentral is "partial 16S ribosomal RNA". It matches the Rfam family "Bacterial small subunit ribosomal RNA", at positions 29 to 507 of the family's 1533-position model. The record is from RNAcentral.
ACGAACGCUGGCGGCGCGCUUCACACAUGCAAGUCGCGCGAUGAAACUUUAACAGAACCCUUCGGGGCGAAGAUAAAGUGGAUUAGCGGCGGACGGGUGAGUAACACGUGAGUAACCUGCCUUAGACAUUGGGAUAGCCUCGGGAAACCGGGAUUAAUACCAAAUAAAAUCAUAAUGACACAUGUCAUAACGAUCAAAACUCCGGUGGUCUAAGAUGGACUCGCGUCCCAUUAGCUAGUUGGUAGAGUAAAAGCCUACCAAGGCGGCGAUGGGUAGCCGGCCUGAGAGGGUGAACGGCCACAUUGGAACUGAGAAACGGUCCAAACUCCUACGGGAGGCAGCAGUGGGGAAUAUUGCACAAUGGAGGGAACUCUGAUGCAGCGACGCCGCGUGAACGAAGAAGGCUUUCGAGUCGUAAAGUUCUUUUAUAUGGGAAGAUAAUGACGGUACCAUAAGAAAAAGCCCCGGCUAACUACGUG